GCGUGGGAAUAUGCCCUUCUCUAAGGAAUAGCCUCUGGAAACGGAGAGUAAUACCUUAUACGCCCUUUGGGGGAAAGAUUUAUCGGAGAAGGAUUAGCCCGCGUUAGAUUAGGUAGUUGGUGGGGUAAUGGCCUACCAAGCCUACGAUCUAUAGCUGGUUUGAGAGGAUGAUCAGCCACACUGGGACUGAGACACGGCCCAGACUCCUACGGGAGGCAGCAGUAGGGAAUCUUAGACAAUGGGGGCAACCCUGAUCUAGCCAUGCCGCGUGUGUGAUGAAGGCCCUAGGGUCGUAAAGCACUUUCGCCAGAGAUGAUAAUGACAGUAUCUGGUAAAGAAACCCCGGCUAACUCCGUGCCAGCAGCCGCGGUAAUACGGAGGGGGUUAGCGUUGUUCGGAAUUACUGGGCGUAAAGCGCACGUAGGCGGAUUAGUAAGUUAGAGGUGAAAUCCCAGGGCUCAACCCUGGAACUGCCUUUAAUACUGCUAGUCUUGAGUUCGAGAGAGGUAAGUGGAAUUCCGAGUGUAGAGGUGAAAUUCGUAGAUAUUCGGAGGAACACCAGUGGCGAAGGCGGCUUACUGGCUCGAUACUGACGCUGAGGUGCGAAAGUGUGGGGAGCAAACAGGAUUAGAUACCCUGGUAGUCCACACCGUAAACGAUGAAUGCCAGACGUCAGCAAGUAUACUUGUUGGUGUCACACCUAACGGA
RNAcentral lists this ribosomal RNA (708 nucleotides) under alpha proteobacterium SCGC AAA076-I23. RNAcentral's name for it is "bacterial SSU rRNA". It matches the Rfam family "Bacterial small subunit ribosomal RNA", at positions 115 to 859 of the family's 1533-position model. The record is from RNAcentral. Lineage: Bacteria; Pseudomonadati; Pseudomonadota; Alphaproteobacteria.